RNAcentral lists this ribosomal RNA (305 nucleotides) under uncultured bacterium. RNAcentral describes it as "bacterial SSU rRNA". It matches the Rfam family "Bacterial small subunit ribosomal RNA", at positions 335 to 637 of the family's 1533-position model. The record is from RNAcentral.
GGGCCUACGGGGGGCAGCAGUGAGGAAUAUUGGUCAAUGGCCGGAAGGCUGAACCAGCCAAGCCGCGUGAAGGACGAAGGUGCCAAGCAUUGUAAACUUCUUUUGUCAAGGGACAAAAUCAGGCUCGAGAGCCUGACCGAGGGUACUUGAAGAAAAAGCAUCGGCUAACUCCGUGCCAGCAGCCGCGGUAAUACGUAGGGGGCAAGCGUUAUCCGGAUUUACUGGGUGUAAAGGGAGCGUAGACGGAAUUGCAAGUCUGAUGUGAAAAUCCGGGGCCCAACCCCGGAACUGCAUUGGAGACUGUA